CAACAGGUUUCCAUGACAGCAAACAUUAACUCUCCUGCAGCACAGCCUGUUAUUUCUGCUACAAACACAAAGCUUUCACUCAUACACUGUAACCCAGCCCAGCUACCCCCAUGAAAAAAGAUCCCUGAAAUAUGCUAAGAGACAUUUAAAUCAACAGCUCUAUUUCCUUUGUCCUGUGAUCCUGCCUCGGAACACGCACACUACUGAACUGAGCGGGAAUGCUGUCAGCUCCCCUAGAGGGACACUGCCACCAGGUCUGAGCUCAGAGCUCUGCCAGCCCUCUACACCACAAAUCCAGUGAUGCAGCAGGAUGAUGCAGACUCCACUCUCAUAAAGACACUGGAUAAAGCUUGCAAAGUUAUAAAAAGCUGAUUAAAUUGCUCAACCUUCAAAAACCAGGGUGUCUUCAACUACUAGAAAGCUGAUCAUCUCAACAGACUGUACAAGUAUUUUGCACCCCACAAUUACCCUGCUGGUUUGUCUGGGGACCCUGCCUUGCUAUACCCAGAUUGCCAAUGGCAGGCUCCUAACUCAGCCCAGCUCUACGAGCGUUGUUUGCUGCUUUUCCUUAGGUAGCGUCGUGUACCAUUUCUGAAGCCUUAACUUCCCCUGCCGACUGAACAGCAGUAUAAAGUGUAUCUAGAGUAAACAAAG
Molecule: long non-coding RNA, 654 nt
Organism: Zonotrichia albicollis (white-throated sparrow)
Lineage: Eukaryota; Metazoa; Chordata; Aves; Passeriformes; Passerellidae
Source: RefSeq, a predicted model, not a curated record